Molecule: ribosomal RNA, 447 nt
Filed under: uncultured organism
Description: partial 16S ribosomal RNA
Rfam family: Bacterial small subunit ribosomal RNA
Source: RNAcentral
ACUCCUGCGGGAGGCAGCAGUGGGGAAUAUUGGACAAUGGGCGCAAGCCUGAUCCAGCCAUGCCGCGUGAGUGAUGAAGGCCCUAGGGUUGUAAAGCUCUUUCACCGGUGAAGAUAAUGACGGUAACCGGAGAAGAAGCCCCGGCUAACUUCGUGCCAGCAGCCGCGGUAAUACGAAGGGGGCUAGCGUUGUUCGGAUUUACUGGGCGUAAAGCGCACGUAGGCGGACUAUUAAGUCAGGGGUGAAAUCCCGGGGCUCAACCCCGGAACUGCCUUUGAUACUGGUAGUCUUGAGUUCGAGAGAGGUGAGUGGAAUUCCGAGUGUAGAGGUGAAAUUCGUAGAUAUUCGGAGGAACACCAGUGGCGAAGGCGGCUCACUGGCUCGAUACUGACGCUGAGGUGCGAAAGCGUGGGGAGCAAACAGGAUUAGAAACCUGUAGUCCCAUGA